Molecule: non-coding RNA, 21 nt
Filed under: Arabidopsis thaliana (thale cress)
Lineage: Eukaryota; Viridiplantae; Streptophyta; Magnoliopsida; Brassicales; Brassicaceae
Source: RNAcentral
UAUACCUGCUAAUCCGAUGUC